RNAcentral lists this long non-coding RNA (206 nucleotides) under Gossypium barbadense (sea-island cotton). Its description in RNAcentral is "long non-coding RNA (GBAR_LNC018400)". Lineage: Eukaryota; Viridiplantae; Streptophyta; Magnoliopsida; Malvales; Malvaceae. The record is from RNAcentral.
GUAAAUCAUGCUCCUAAAAAGCCUAAAUCGAUAAGAGAGCAAUCCACAAGAGUAUUAUGAAAAUCCUCCAUUCUUCUUUCAUCUCGUAAAAUCCCUCCCUUUUUUUCAUGCAUGUACAUGAUUUCAUUGAAAUCCUUACAGACCAUCCACAAGAAACUUUGAUCUCUCCCUAAACGUUUUAAUAAAUUCCAAAUCGCUUCCUUCUC